This 369-nucleotide ribosomal RNA is filed under the name uncultured bacterium. RNAcentral's name for it is "bacterial SSU rRNA". It matches the Rfam family "Bacterial small subunit ribosomal RNA", at positions 525 to 896 of the family's 1533-position model. The record is from RNAcentral.
ACGGAGGAUCCAAGCGUUAUCCGGAUUUAUUGGGUUUAAAGGGUGCGUAGGCGGCGUGUUAAGUCAGAGGUGAAAUUCGGCAGCUCAACUGUCAAAUUGCCUUUGAUACUGGCAUGCUUGAAUGCGAUUGAGGUAGGCGGAAUGUGACAUGUAGCGGUGAAAUGCUUAGAUAUGUGACAGAACACCGAUUGCGAAGGCAGCUUACCAAGUCGUUAUUGACGCUGAGGCACGAAAGCGUGGGGAGCAAACAGGAUUAGAUACCCUGGUAGUCCACGCUGUAAACGAUGAUAACUCGACGUUAGCGAUACACUGUUAGCGUCCAAGCGAAAGCGUUAAGUUAUCCACCUGGGAAGUACGAUCGCAAGGUUG